This 497-nucleotide ribosomal RNA is filed under the name uncultured bacterium. RNAcentral's name for it is "partial 16S ribosomal RNA". It matches the Rfam family "Bacterial small subunit ribosomal RNA", at positions 28 to 507 of the family's 1533-position model. The record is from RNAcentral.
GAUGAACGCUGGCGGCGUGCCUAAUACAUGCAAGUCGAGCGAACGGACGAGAAGCUUGCUUCUCUGAUGUUAGCGGCGGACGGGUGAGUAACACGUGGAUAACCUACCUAUAAGACUGGGAUAACUUCGGGAAACCGGAGCUAAUACCGGAUAAUAUUUUGAACCGCAUGGUUCAAAAGUGAAAGACGGUCUUGCUGUCACUUAUAGAUGGAUCCGCGCUGCAUUAGCUAGUUGGUAAGGUAACGGCUUACCAAGGCAACGAUGCAUAGCCGACCUGAGAGGGUGAUCGGCCACACUGGAACUGAGACACGGUCCAGACUCCUACGGGAGGCAGCAGUAGGGAAUCUUCCGCAAUGGGCGAAAGCCUGACGGAGCAACGCCGCGUGAGUGAUGAAGGUCUUCGGAUCGUAAAACUCUGUUAUUAGGGAAGAACAUAUGUGUAAGUAACUGUGCACAUCUUGACGGUACCUAAUCAGAAAGCCACGGGUAACUACGUG